CGCGCAGGCGGUUUUCCAAGUCAGUGGUGAAAGCCCAGAGCUCAACUCUGGAACUGCCAUUGAAACUGUUAAACUAGAGGACGAGAGAGGUGAGUGGAAUUCCCAGUGUAGAGGUGAAAUUCGUAGAUAUUGGGAAGAACACCGGUGGCGAAGGCGGCUCACUGGCUCGUUUCUGACGCUCAGGCGCGAUAGCGUGGGGAUCAAACA
This 207-nucleotide ribosomal RNA is filed under the name uncultured bacterium. Its description in RNAcentral is "partial 16S ribosomal RNA". It matches the Rfam family "Bacterial small subunit ribosomal RNA", at positions 568 to 774 of the family's 1533-position model. The record is from RNAcentral.